RNAcentral lists this ribosomal RNA (253 nucleotides) under uncultured Rikenellaceae bacterium. RNAcentral's name for it is "partial 16S ribosomal RNA". It matches the Rfam family "Bacterial small subunit ribosomal RNA", at positions 524 to 776 of the family's 1533-position model. The record is from RNAcentral. Lineage: Bacteria; Pseudomonadati; Bacteroidota; Bacteroidia; Bacteroidales; Rikenellaceae.
UACGGAGGAUUCAAGCGUUAUCCGGAUUUAUUGGGUUUAAAGGGUGCGUAGGCGGUCGGAUAAGUUAGAGGUGAAAUCCCGAGGCUCAACCUUGGCACUGCCUCUGAUACUGGUUUGCUAGCGAGUAGAUGCUGUAGGCGGAAUGCGUGGUGUAGCGGUGAAAUGCAUAGAUAUCACGAAGAACUCCGAUUGCGAAGGCAGCUUACCAGUCUGCGACUGACGCUCAGGCACGAAAGUGUGGGUAUCGAACAGG